Long non-coding RNA from Zea mays, 5628 nucleotides. RefSeq lists it as uncharacterized. The record is from RefSeq and is a predicted model, not a curated record. The transcript is spliced from 6 exons. NCBI's taxonomy places the organism in Eukaryota, Viridiplantae, Streptophyta, Magnoliopsida, Poales, Poaceae.
AUACAACCCGCAUCGCUGGUCGGGGAGGGAACUGGGAAGGAAGCCGGAGCCCGGGCCGUCGGCGUUGGGGAAUUGGGAGUGGCCGACUGGGGAAGCCACGGCGGCAACACCGUCUUCGAGGGCUGUCGGGAUAGGACGGGAGGCGAACCAGCAGAAGCGCGAGCGAGCGUGUGGGUAACGGCUCACGGCUUCUCUGCACCACCGCCGACCCGAGGAGCACACUUAGGUCUACCUGCAACCUGCAUUUCCUCUCCCUCUCCCUCUCCCUCUCGGCUCCUCUGCAGCACCGCCGGCCACGUCCUCGAGGACCACACUGGAGGUGGAUCGGCGAGCUCAUGAAGAUAUGCUAGUCCUCUUGCUGAUCCUAGAGCAAUCCUGAGCCUCUUCUUCCAAUCCAGUUCAUCAAAAGAAAAGAACCUUGCUCCUUUCAGCUGUGGAGCACCUCCACUAUCUUUUUUAGCGAUUCCCCAUGAAGCUAAAAAUUGAAUAUGCAUGAGGUAAAUAGUCAGUUAAGUUUUUAUCAAACUACAGUACUUUUGAUCUUUUCUAUGCUUUAUUACUGCUUACAUGCAUUUGAUCACUAUAUUUUCGUAGUUAGACACAUUUUCCGUUAUAAUUUUGUAAGCUCUGAAAGGAAGGGUAUUUAAAUAGGAUUUGAAAAUUGGAUGUUGGUUUGGCAUGCUGAGCUAGUUAGUAUACAUAACUGUGUCAAUUCUGUUGUAUAUUUUUAUCAUAUGUCUAAUUAUAGCCUAUCAGGCUACCAUUUAGUUAUUUAACUUGAAUCCUGCUUAAUUACCCUGCUAGGUAAUCUCAUACCAUGAUAAUAUUGAUAUUCUUAUAUGAAGUAAAAUUGUAUUUGUUUUGUACAAUCUAGCUCCAGUAAGCUGUAUUUGUUAUACAUCUGGAAGUCGGUAACAGCUCUAGCAAACCAUUGGUACUCUAUGCUGUUGCAACCAUUCUCAGCAAAUAAAUGGCAUAUAUGUGUCCCAUUUUUACUUCAUCAAUGAGAGGUUAUGUAGACUUUUUAUCCGAUUUUAUUAGUUUUUUUUGGGGGGGGGGGGGUCUUUCUCACUGGUUUCCUAUAGAUGUUUAUAGAUUUACUACAAAACAAAGAACUUUAUUAAAUGGUGCAACCAUGGAAAACACAUUCUGAUAAUUUAAUGUUUUUCUUCUUAAAGAAAUAUUUGGUAGCUAUAAGAGGUAUACAGUUGUCAACUAUAUUAUUUGGAAUCUCACCGAAAGGAUUUGUUUGUCCUGAUAGUUCCCUACUUCUUCUCUUCUGUAAUAAAGCAAAUAUUGCCCCAGAAGUUACAGCAAUCAGAAUAAGACCACAUGCUACUGCAAUUCCAGCGACAGCACCUGUGCUUACUUGCGAUUUUCCACCGUCAUCUGCUCCUGAGACAAGAUAGCCUAAUGUAUUUCAUGCAUAAUUACUUGCAUAUAGACAUAAUUUUACAUGAUUAGAUUUGAUUAUUUUAAUACCUGCAAAGUGGACAUAUGGAUCUGCAACAAAGUAAUAAGGUCCAAAACCUUGUGGUGGCUUGUAAGUUUGAUUGCUAAGAUCAAAGCCUAUCCUCGUUAUUUCCGACAAGUUAAAGGAUGUUCCGGUCGAUGGAAAUAGUCUGACUUGAACUUGGAGGUAAUCAUCACUGGUGAAGUGGAUAUCAGAAAGGAAAACUGAACCAGGUUGCAGUCCCAGUUCUGUUGAGAGGCUAGCUUCCAAUAGCUGAAAGUGCUCAUUGUUUCUCAAGUCUGCAAACAGUGGUGACCUGAAGAAAACCCUACCCAUGUAGGGAUAGGCACAGCCACAAUUUGCAGGGUCUAGACUUUGAUCGCUGGAACAAGAAGUUGAACCACAAUGGGUUACACUAGUAGUGUAUGAUAUUAUGCUAUCUUGCUGGAUACUGCAAAAGUGGCUACUGGAGAAUUCAGGAUCCAAGCACACAGGAUUUCCCACAAGUCUGCCGAUAGAGGAAGAGGCAAUUCUAGUCAGUAAAUGGAGACUAGAAGCAGCAUGUGGUCUUUGGUUUUGAAGCAUGCAAGUACUCACACUAGUAUUCCGUUGUAGCUUUGUGUUAUUUUUGCCGCAACUAUACGAUUAUUUAACAGAAUGACUCGCUGCAGUUGUUGAGUGAUGUUGCCAGUCAUGUUAAGCGUCCCAUUGAAGGCAUUAUUGCUUAGAAUACUGUCUGAUCAGUGACAAAAAUAAGCAAACAUGUGAAACUUUGCUAGUUACUAAAAUUUUAACUUGUAUGUUUCCAGAAAAUUACACUUGCUGCAGUCCGGGUAAGGUAAAGAUCCUGUUGGGAAUCUGACCAUACAGUCCUCCAGAAGCUAUUGCUCUGCAUGUUAGGAUUUUAUAACGUGAUAUGGUUUCACUAAAUGAGAAAAUAUAGUACAUUGAGCAUUGUAGUGCAUGUCUUAAACAACUCACACUGAAGCUAGUGUUUUCAGUGUCAGCAUCCAGGUUGGUAUGGCAGACGGAUCAAAUGAAUUGUUGCUUAAAUCACUGGAUGUGAAAAGAAAAUUCAUUAGUACUUGCACCAUGUUUAUAUGUUAUGACAGUGUAGAAUAGAAGACAAGGGCGAUAUCUUACACCACAUUAAGUUUUGUCAGGGUACUGAGAUCUGGCAUUGUUCCACGCAGCUGGUUGCCUGCAAAAUUCCUGCAGAAGAUAGUUAUUCAAAUGAAAUACACUGGAAAUUCUUGACUUACACAAAUAUGUUAGUCAUUUGACCGUGAGGUCAAAAAUCAUACAUCACUUACAGUACAUUGAGGUCAACUAGGUUACUGAUAUUGGUCGGAACUGCUCCUGUGAAUUUAUUAUUGUCUAAUCGGCUGAUCAAGAUGCAAAGAAGUCAACAUAAUGCUGAGAAUAUGGUUGGAAGAAAUAAAAAUGCCAAGAUACUCACAGAAUCUGGAGGGUGGUGAUGCUACCAAGUUCAGCAGGGAUAGGACCAGUCAAUUGGUUGUUGUCAAAUAAUCUCAUGAAGAUAAACAAAGUGAUCAGUACAGUACUUUAAUGUGUAAGAAUUGCUAGCAUAAAAAAUUAGUACUGCCUUACAUAUGUUCGAGUCUCAUGCUAGGGCUGAAGAGGCCAUUGAGAUUACCGGUUAAUUGGUUUCCACUGAAAUGACUGUUAAUUAAUCGGAACAGAGUAUCAGCAUGGUAGGAACACGAGUAAAAGCAUGCAUACUGAUCAUCUGUUCUUGACUUAUAGGAGAUUAGAAAUGUUGGAGGAUCUUACAAAUGUUUGGUGUGUGUAAGUAGGUCAAGUCCUGGAGAAGUGGCUGAUGAAAUCGGAACAGGACCAGAAAGUUGAUUUUCUGACAAGUCUAGCCAGAAGAGGUUGUUGAGUAGGCCAAUUGAAGCAGGAAUUCUGCCUGUAAAUCUGUUUGAAUUCAUUGCCCUGCAGAGUAUAUUUCAUUGCUAGUUCAUUGCAUCAGUAUAGGCAAAGCAGCAGCAGAGGUAACAAGAACAGAGUUGGGAUUAUGAUUUUCUAUCAAUUUAAUAGUUCUUACAAGAAUGAGAGCUGCACCAAGUUUCCUAAUUCUUCGGGGAUGCCUCCUGUGAAGCUGCACCCAGCCAAGAUUCUGAAGAUUACAACGCAUUAGAAUAGUGCACGAAGACUGGCCAAAAUCAUGAAUAUCAGCAGAAGAAUGGACAGUGCCUUCAUUUUGAGAGCUACAAACACUCUGAACCUCAGGGUUCCACAAAGCUGUUGUGAAUGUGAAUACUUCAAGGAGUGGAGCUUUCUAAGGUUUACAACUGAUCACCAAAGCCUUGGUCUUUUAUUGAAUGUUCCCUUGAGUAGGAACAGGUAAUAGGUCUUUGGUGCCUUGGUGGCUCGGUGCAAGUCACAAACUCACAAUGCUGUCAACACAUUCCUUUAAACUUUUGAACGUGGACGUAUUCGUGACAACUGGUGUCUGUUUUGUUAUUUAAAUUUGUGUAGCCUGCUCAUCCUUACAGGUUGUAACUUCAUGUCGCUGGGAUACAGUUUUUUUUUGUCAUUUUUAAUACUUUUGCAUUUGCAUGUCAUGUAGUUGAUAUUGUUUUUUCAUUGAUCCAGUGUAUGCUGAGGUGGACUGAAAUAACGAUGUCAAUGCUUUGGAAGCUCUGCUAAUGACAUAGUUACUUUCAUUGUUUCUGCAGGUCAACAGGCACUCUGGAUAAUUCUACCCUAAACAGAUGGCAGCAUGCAUCCUAUAUCCUCGUCAAAUGCAAUAUAUCAAGGCUUACCAUCUUGGGGGUUCGUCUGACCGAAACUUGGCCGGAGGUAUACCAAGAGCAAGAACAGGAGUAGCAACUGCUGCAUCGCCGCCAUGCCGAGCUAGGCCUCCAAACAAGUUGCAGCAGACCACUGCUAACUUCGAUGGGACGAUGGUUAUCCUUGGAGAAGUCUAUGCAAUGAGGUAGCUAAUGGACGAGUCAGCUGCUACCAAAUGGCGCCGCUCUUCUUCCUGAGGUUGGAACCAGGCAAAGCAAAUAGCGUUUCAAGCAAAACAACCUUGCAUCACCAGAUUCAGAAGAAUCUCUCGUCAAUUAUUGCCUGGUCUGCUUACCGGGUCCAAGCAAUGGAUAUGCUCAUAGGAACGCACGUAUGCAAGGGUAUGGGAGGCCUUAAACAAGGCUACAGAGAGCUCAGUUGAACUGAUCAAAACACGGAAAUGGUUGAAGAAAAAAUGUUUCUGUAUUCCUCGUUGAUAGUGGGGCAGUUGCUUCUUGUCAUCUUGUGGCUGGGGCCUCAUCGGAGUAUCCCUUCUAAGCUUUGACCCGGUCAUGGCUAUUAAUUAAUUAGAUUAGUACGGCCACAGGUCGGACUUUUGUGCCAUAGGCCCACAGUUCAGAAACGUGUUAUGCUGCGCUACUGCUGCUAGCAGUUAUGAUGUGGAUUUGGCAUCAUGACAAGGAUAUUACGUAAAUAUACUUCGGUCCCCUUGAACGCACCACCCAUCGUGUUACCAUGAAUCGGUUUGUUCUUAGGAGACCUGAUGGUUCAUGUUCAGUAAAUUUGAUUUGAUGAUGAGGCAGGGUUUCUCUCACCUGCACAGACACAAAGCUUCAAAUCGCAAGUCAGAAAGCAUGUGCAGACGAUUAUACUGCUCUCCUUGAUCCUUGGAAGUUCGCAGAUGGUUCGGAAAGGCCUGGCCGUUCUUUUUUUUUCCCCCUUUUCGCAGAUGCUAUUCGUUCACCAACACGAAUGGGUCCGGAAGGCCAGGUUUUGGAUGCACCUGCUCAACUGGUUCCUUUGUCGGGAAGCUUGCCGUGCAGAUAAAUUUUUUAUGCAUGAUGUUCCAGAAAAUGCAGAUAAAGGACGGCUUCCACACAGAAGGUUCGUUCUGCACGGAGACAAAGUGUGGCCGGCAGGCUGAUGUUUGCAUUGGCCGAUGAAAUGAACUGUUCGCUUCAACUUAAAGUCAGUUGUUGUAUCUACAAUCUAUAGAGACAAAACACUAUAAGAAUAGUAGAAGCCGGUACGAAUUAAAGCAGACUGAAAGAUUUCUAUAUAGUAAUUGUCCGUCUUUUCUCUCCCGCUCUUUCAGUGCGUGGUUGCAAUUUUCUAUUAUUUCUUGACUGCCACUGAUCCCGUCGUAUAUGUUGCCUAAGUAAAUGUUGGUGAACAUA